UCUUCCCUCUUUCUUCGUGCCUAAUACAUGCAAGUCGAGCGAACAGACGAGGAGCUUGCUCCUCUGACGUUAGCGGCGGACGGGUGAGUAACACGUGUAUAACCUACCUAUAAGACUGGGAUCACUUCGGGAAACCGGAUCUAAUACCGUAUAACAUGUUGAACCGCAUGGUUUAACAGUGAAAGACGGUCUUGCUGUCACUUAUAGAUGGAUCCGCGCCGCAUUAGCUAGUUGGUAAGGUAACGGCUUACCCAGGCAACGAUGCGUAGCCGACCUGAGAGGGUGAUCGGCCACCCUAGAACGGAGACACGGUCCAGAGUCCUACGGUAGGCCGCAGUAGGGAAUCUGCCGCAAUGGGCGAGAGCCUUACGGAGCAGGGCCGCGUGAGUGGAAAAGGUGUUCGGAUCGUAAAACUCUGUUAUUAGGGAAGAACAAAUGUGUAAGUAACUAUGCACGUCUUGACGGUACCUAGUCAGAAAGCCACGGCUAACUACGUG
Molecule: ribosomal RNA, 497 nt
Filed under: uncultured bacterium
Lineage: Bacteria
Description: partial 16S ribosomal RNA
Rfam family: Bacterial small subunit ribosomal RNA
Source: RNAcentral